RNAcentral lists this ribosomal RNA (492 nucleotides) under uncultured bacterium. RNAcentral's name for it is "partial 16S ribosomal RNA". It matches the Rfam family "Bacterial small subunit ribosomal RNA", at positions 29 to 507 of the family's 1533-position model. The record is from RNAcentral.
AGUGAACGCUGGCGGUAGGCCUAACACAUGCAAGUCGAGCGGCAGCACAGUAAGAGCUUGCUCUUACGGGUGGCGAGUGGCGGACGGGUGAGGAAUACAUCGGAAUCUACUUUUUCGUGGGGGAUAACGUAGGGAAACUUACGCUAAUACCGCAUACGACCUACGGGUGAAAGCAGGGGAUCUUCGGACCUUGCGCGAUUGAAUGAGCCGAUGUCGGAUUAGCUAGUUGGCGGGGUAAAGGCCCACCAAGGCGACGAUCCGUAGCUGGUCUGAGAGGAUGAUCAGCCACACUGGACCUGAGACACGGUCCAGACUCCUACGGGAGGCAGCAGUGGGGAAUAUUGGACAAUGGGCGCAAGCCUGAUCCAGCCAUACCGCGUGGGUGAAGAAGGCCUUCGGGUUGUAAAGCCCUUUUGUUGGGAAAGAAAAGCAGCAGGUUAAUACCCCGCUGUUCUGACGGUACCCAAAGAAUAAGCACCGGCUAACUUCGUG